This 714-nucleotide long non-coding RNA is filed under the name Hordeum vulgare. RNAcentral describes it as "long non-coding RNA (HVUL_LNC015347)". The record is from RNAcentral. Lineage: Eukaryota; Viridiplantae; Streptophyta; Magnoliopsida; Poales; Poaceae.
CGCAUGCGAGGAUGGAGGUCCCCGCUGGUCAAAACAGAGCACCAUCUGUUUUUGUUGACUGGCGUCGAGUCGACCUGGUCGAGGAUGAUGCCCAAGUAAGUGCGAAUUGCCAAGGGGCUGAUUCCUCGUAGCAUUUAGUGUGUGCGGGGACAGAAUAGGAAAUAAGGCACCUUGUCCUUGCCGAUCUUGUGUUCUAUUUCUAUUCCUCUUCAUCUCGUUCUUGGUUUUCUACUGGAAGCUAAAGGCUCCAGGAUAGAAUCACAAAGACAUGCAUCCAGAAUGGAGUUGAAGAUAACUCAUGUGCAUGAAAACUACAAUCGGUCAUUAGAUGAUCAGUUCCUCAAUUAGUCAUGGAAAGGAAUAAAUCAAAUUCAAUUUCUUAAUCAAUUUCUCCUAUGCAGGAGCAUGCAUCGCAUGCCAAGACAUGCUGAGACGCGUCCCCGCAGCUCUUGGCACCGAUGAUGUCCGGGAACGGUUGCCAACGCCUUGGCCGGUGGUCGCUGGAGACGCUGAAAAGAAAAAAAACAAGUUCAAAGGUAUCCUUGUGCCCCAUCUCCAUCCAACGGAAAAGGCCACGGACGACGCGCUUUUGCGAGCCAGCGGUUGCCGCGUCGGGCGCACGGAGGAAAAUGUCGAGGCCGGGCGGCCACAGGCACGACCAGGCAUGGACAGACGGGGCCGGCCACAGUCGGGCGCGGACGCCGAGGCCACGGC